UGGUGGCCCAAGCUUGUAAUCUCUGCUGCUGGGAAGGCUGAGGCUGGUGGAUUUCUUGAGCUCAAGAGUUCUGAGACAUAGUGGUCCAAGCCAGUCAGGUAUCUAUAUCAAGUUUGGCAUUAAUAUGUUCAGCCUAUGGAGCAGGGGGCCAUCAGGUUGCAUAAAGAUGGACAAACUGGCUCAGGUUGAAGACAGAGAAGGUCAAAGUUAUGCUGGUCAGUAGUCAGAUUGGCUGUGAAUGGCUUCCACACUUCUAAACUGAGCAAGAUGGGGAGACUCAGACUUUA
Molecule: signal recognition particle RNA, 287 nt
Filed under: Vombatus ursinus (common wombat)
Lineage: Eukaryota; Metazoa; Chordata; Mammalia; Diprotodontia; Vombatidae
Description: Metazoan signal recognition particle RNA (ENSVURG00010018650.1)
Rfam family: Metazoan signal recognition particle RNA
About the family: The signal recognition particle (SRP) is a universally conserved ribonucleoprotein. It is involved in the co-translational targeting of proteins to membranes.
Source: RNAcentral